Mesocricetus auratus (golden hamster) is the source of this 101-nucleotide small nuclear RNA. The record is from Ensembl. Lineage: Eukaryota; Metazoa; Chordata; Mammalia; Rodentia; Cricetidae.
GUGCUUGGUUUGACAGAACAUAUUAAAGUUGGAGCAAUACAUAGAUUAGCAUAGCUCCUACACAAGAUGAAGUGUAAAUUUGUAAGGUGUUCCAUAUUUUC